CCUACGGGUGGCUGCAGUGGGGGAUAUUGCACAAUGGGGGGAACCCUGAUGCAGCGACGCCGCGUGGGUGAAGGAGUGCUUCGGCAUGUAAAGCCCUAUCGGCAGGGAAGAAGCAAGACGGUACCUGACUAAGAAGCCCCGGCUAACUACGUGCCAGCAGCCGCGGUAAUACGUAGGGGGCAAGCGUUAUCCGGAUUUACUGGGUGUAAAGGGAGCGUAGACGGCGCUGCAAGUCCGGAGUGAAAGCCCAUGGCUUAACCAUGGUACUGCUCUGGAAACUGUGGAGCUUGAGUGCGGGAGGGGCAGGCGGAAUUCCUAGUGUAGCGGUGAAAGGCGUAGAUAUUAGGAGGAACACCGGCGGCGAAGGCGGCCUGCUGGACCGUAACUGACGUUGAGGCUCGAAAGCGUGGGGAGCAAACAGGAUUAGAUACCCUGGUAGUC
Molecule: ribosomal RNA, 441 nt
Filed under: uncultured bacterium
Lineage: Bacteria
Description: partial 16S ribosomal RNA
Rfam family: Bacterial small subunit ribosomal RNA
Source: RNAcentral